RNAcentral lists this long non-coding RNA (1502 nucleotides) under Olea europaea subsp. europaea. The record is from RNAcentral. Lineage: Eukaryota; Viridiplantae; Streptophyta; Magnoliopsida; Lamiales; Oleaceae.
UAGGAAGUUUAAAUGCUUCUAUGUGUUCAAACCAAUAAUCGAUUCACAAUUAUUCUCUCCUUCUUGUACGGUAGGUACAAUGUUUUUUAUAAACUUAGCAAAGUUUAGAGUAUUGAGAUAGAACAACAUUUUUUGCUGUCAUUUCUUAAAGUUUACGCCUCCAAAAUUUUUUGAUUUUUCCCCAUGUGGGAUUGCAGUAUUUUGUAGUGGUACAGCCAACGGCGGAACCACAUUGUUAGUACCAUUUUGACUUGAAGUAGUCUCAAUGGUAGUCAUUUCUGUUACACAAACAGAAGUUUAACGAAACAACAAAUGAAGUGAAGAAUAGCACACAAAGCACUUUUCAAAAUGAAUGAACGUGACGGGUUUCUUCACAAAAAAUCACAGACACAAGAUUUUGUCUUAAGAUUGUUGUUUUGGGCUUUAUAUGCAUGCGGUAAAGGGUUGUUUGAAUAUAGGGCAAAAAAGACAAAGUUUAAUCCAAAGGAGCGUAAUUAAGCACAAUUUAUAUAGGGUUGAAAAUGGAUUAAAACAAAUAAAACCGGAAGUAAAACCAAGAAAGGAGAAAAAAUAUAGAAUGAUCCGAGACAAGUGAAUUUCACUCUUUUCUUAAGACAAAAUUUCCCCGCACUGGUAAUCACGGAUCAUGGCACUUGUCUUUCAAGAUACAACGGAUUCAACUUGUGGUAGAAGAACUUCAAACCACAAGUUACAAUGAACUUUCGACGGAGUUUCCAUCUACUCUAAGAAAAAGGUUUUUGAAUGAAUUUGGGAGAGAUUUUGCAAGAGAUUUAUGAUAUGCUCAAUGCAAGUAUGAUAUGGUGUGCAAAAAUGACGUCCAAGGGGUCCUAUUUAUAGAGGAUAAGGGGUUGUGGACGAAGUGAUGCAGGCCAAACCUUGCAACCUUUCAUCGCUAGCUUUCCGCUCGACUCUCGCUCAAAAUUUUUAAGAGACUUUUUUGCUGCUUUUCGCUAGAUCGUCGCUCGAGUACAUCUUUUCCUUUAUUUUUCUCCUUAGAUUUGGACUAUAAUUUCUCAUUCAUUCGGAUUUGGUUUUGAGAUUUCAAAUAUACUAUGACGAUCUAUUCGACAAGUAGAACAAGAUGAUCUAUUUACAUUUGUAGUUUGACCAUCGAAUCAAACCGAAUAUUUGGUUGAAGUUCACAUGAAAGUCACUUUUCCAAUUUUGGUUUUUAACACAACCAAAUUUUGCUUAAUUUUAAACCAAUUUCCAACAACAGUAUCUGUGCUAUGAUGAAUCCAGAUGUAAGGUGCAUGCGAUAUCUUCAAACCCUCCACUAGACAUGGGUGAAUCACAUAUCUCUCCUAAAAUUCAGAACGUGAAGUUCCGCCAAAUUCACUGCUCUAAGGAUCACAAUUGGAUGACUAUUAUGAGGUACACAACAUGGCAAAAUUGUUAAGUCAACAAAAAAGAUUGCACAGAAAAAAGAGGAGGGAGACCACCGUAUCCAAUUAGAGGGUGAGACCGAGAAGUGGGACGCA